CCUACGGGAGGCAGCAGUGGGGAAUUUUGGACAAUGGGCGAAAGCCUGAUCCAGCAAUGCCGCGUGAGUGAAGAAGGCCUUCGGGUUGUAAAGCUCUUUUGUCAGGGAAGAAACGGUGAGGGCUAAUAUCCCUUGCUAAUGACGGUACCUGAAGAAUAAGCACCGGCUAACUACGUGCCAGCAGCCGCGGUAAUACGUAGGGUGCAAGCGUUAAUCGGAAUUACUGGGCGUAAAGCGUGCGCAGGCGGUUUUGUAAGUCUGUCGUGAAAUCCCCGGGCUCAACCUGGGAAUUGCGAUGGAGACUGCAAGGCUAGAAUCUGGCAGAGGGGGGUAGAAUUCCACGUGUAGCAGUGAAAUGCGUAGAGAUGUGGAGGAACACCGAUGGCGAAGGCAGCCCCCUGGGUCAAGAUUGACGCUCAUGCACGAAAGCGUGGGGAGCAAACAGGAUUAGAUACCCUGGUAGUCCACGCCCUAAACGAUGUCUACUAGUUGUCGGGUUUUAAUUAACUUGGUAACGCAGCUAACGCGUGAAGUAGACCGCCUGGGGAGUACGGUCGCAAGAUUAAAACUUAAAGAAUUAGACGG
RNAcentral lists this ribosomal RNA (585 nucleotides) under uncultured bacterium. Its description in RNAcentral is "bacterial SSU rRNA". It matches the Rfam family "Bacterial small subunit ribosomal RNA", at positions 338 to 916 of the family's 1533-position model. The record is from RNAcentral.